GCUGGGUGUAGCUCAGGGGUAGAGAGCUUGCCUAACAUGUGCAAGGCCCUGGGUUCAAUUUCCAGCACUGCA
Molecule: transfer RNA, 72 nt
Filed under: Marmota monax (woodchuck)
Lineage: Eukaryota; Metazoa; Chordata; Mammalia; Rodentia; Sciuridae
Description: tRNA.Val
Source: RNAcentral